CCAAAUACGUAAUUCUUCUACUGUUUUCUGUUCUUCAUCUACAAAAGUGUACACUUUGCUAGAGGCUCGAGGAACUACUGGCGCUCCUACAGUUCCAUCAAAUGUCAAGGAUGCAAAUCCUGCACUGGUAAUUCCUUGCAUUUGUCCAUUGUAUUCUCUGAUCUUUACUCUAUGAAAUCUAACAAUAUCUCCGUUUUUGUAAAUUUUUGGUAGAGAAUCUAGAUUUCCAUUGAAAAGAGUGCAUGUUAACUUCACAUUCGAUUGGUCCACAAGUGUUACAACUGAGCAGUAAUCUGUUCCUUUGCUUAUGUAAGGAGGCUUGAAGAAUUUCACAAUGCCG
Molecule: long non-coding RNA, 340 nt
Filed under: Gallus gallus (chicken)
Lineage: Eukaryota; Metazoa; Chordata; Aves; Galliformes; Phasianidae
Source: RNAcentral